This 253-nucleotide ribosomal RNA is filed under the name uncultured bacterium. RNAcentral describes it as "partial 16S ribosomal RNA". It matches the Rfam family "Bacterial small subunit ribosomal RNA", at positions 524 to 776 of the family's 1533-position model. The record is from RNAcentral.
UACGUAGGGGCCGAGCGUUGUCCGGAAUCAUUGGGCGUAAAGAGCGCGUAGGCGGCCACUUAAGUCCUGCGUGAAAUCUUGCGGCUCAACCGCAAGCGGUCGUGGGAAACUGGGUGGCUAGAGUGCGGGAGAGGAGAGUGGAAUUCCUGGUGUAGCGGUGGAAUGCGCAGAUAUCAGGAAGAACACCCGUGGCGAAGGCGGCUCUCUGGAACGCAACUGACGCUGAGGCGCGAAAGCGUGGGGAGCAAACAGG